RNAcentral lists this ribosomal RNA (405 nucleotides) under Mycobacteriaceae bacterium Ellin7001. RNAcentral's name for it is "bacterial SSU rRNA". It matches the Rfam family "Bacterial small subunit ribosomal RNA", at positions 71 to 495 of the family's 1533-position model. Lineage: Bacteria; Bacillati; Actinomycetota; Actinomycetes; Mycobacteriales; Mycobacteriaceae. The record is from RNAcentral.
AAAGGCCCUUCGGGGUACUCGAGUGGCGAACGGUGAGUAACACGUGGGUGAUCUGCCUGCACUUGGGAUAAGCCCUGGAAACUGGGUCUAAUACCGAAUAUGACCAUGCUCUUCAUGGAGUGUGGUGGAAAGCUUUUGCGGUGUGGGAUGGGCCCGCGGCCUAUCAGCUUGUUGGUGGGGUAAUGGCCUACCAAGGCGACGACGGGUAGCCGGCCUGAGAGGGUGACCGGCCACACUGGGACUGAGAUACGGCCCAGACUCCUACGGGAGGCAGCAGUGGGGAAUAUUGCACAAUGGGCGCAAGCCUGAUGCAGCGACGCCGCGUGAGGGAUGACGGCCUUCGGGUUGUAAACCUCUUUCAAUAGGGACGAAGCGCAAGUGACGGUACCUAUAGAAGAAGACCGC